Molecule: ribosomal RNA, 454 nt
Filed under: uncultured Caryophanales bacterium
Lineage: Bacteria; Bacillati; Bacillota; Bacilli; Caryophanales
Description: uncultured Bacillales bacterium partial 16S ribosomal RNA
Source: RNAcentral
CACGUAGCUAGCCGGGGCUUUCUUCUCAGGUACCGUCACUCUGAGUUCAGUUACUAACUCAGACGUUCUUCCCUGGCAACAGAGCUUUACGAUCCGAAAACCUUCAUCACUCACGCGGCGUUGCUCCGUCAGACUUGCGUCCAUUGCGGAAGAUUCCCUACUGCUGCCUCCCGUAGGAGUCUGGGCCGUGUCUCAGUCCCAGUGUGGCCGAUCACCCUCUCAGGUCGGCUACGCAUCGUCGCCUUGGUGACGCCGUUACCUCACCAACUAGCUAAUGCGCCGCAGGCCCAUCCUCAGUGACAGUAUGCUCCGUCUUUCCAAAUUCGUUCAGGCGAACAAAUCAUGUAUUCGGUAUUAGCUUACCGUUCCGGUAGUUCGCCCAAGUCUUGAGGGCAGGGUUGCCGUACGUUGUUACUCCACCCGUCCGCCGACCUAAGAACUAGAAAGAAGCAAG